AAAGGAAUUGACGGGGACCCGCACAAGCGGUGGAGCAUGUGGUUUAAUUCGAAGCAACGCGAAGAACCUUACCUGGUCUUGACAUCCCGAUGCAUAAUGGGUAAUGCCAUUAGCCCUUCGGGGCAUCGGUGACAGGUGGUGCAUGGUUGUCGUCAGCUCGUGUCGUGAGAUGUUGGGUUAAGUCCCGCAACGAGCGCAACCCUUAUCUUUAGUAGCCAGCAGGUAACGCUGGGCACUCUAGAGAGACUGCCGGGGAUAACCCGGAGGAAGGUGGGGAUGACGUCAAAUCAUCAUGCCCCUUAUGACCAGGGCUACACACGUGCUACAAUGGCGUAAACAAAGGGAAGCGAAAUGGUGACAUGGAGCAAACCCCAAAAAUAACGUCCCAGUUCGGAUUGUAGUCUGCAACUCGACUACAUGAAGCCGGAAUCGCUAGUAAUCGCGAAUCAGCAUGUCGCGGUGAAUACGUUCCCGGGUCUUGUACACACCGCCCGU
This 495-nucleotide ribosomal RNA is filed under the name uncultured bacterium. RNAcentral's name for it is "bacterial SSU rRNA". It matches the Rfam family "Bacterial small subunit ribosomal RNA", at positions 903 to 1397 of the family's 1533-position model. The record is from RNAcentral.